This 708-nucleotide long non-coding RNA is filed under the name Homo sapiens (human). Its description in RNAcentral is "non-protein coding GLYCTK-AS1:4". The record is from RNAcentral. Lineage: Eukaryota; Metazoa; Chordata; Mammalia; Primates; Hominidae.
UUGUAGGCCUCCUCUGAACUCCCAAAAUGUGACCUAUGCCAUCACCGAGGCCGCAGGAACAAGAGGUGGGUGUCCAUGACAUUGGUACCUGUCAUCCCUGUGUGCAGCAGGUGUGCCCCACCCUGGAGGCAGCAGAAGAAGGUGAUGGGGGCAUGAACGAAGAUGCCCACUGACAUGCAUCCUGGGGCCAGGCCAGAUCCAGGAGAAAUGGGAAGCGGGUGGGGAGGGGAGGCCCGAUUCAGCCUGUGUCUGGGCCCAGGUUUCCCUCCAGAUAGAUAGAGGGAGGCAGGCCCCCAUGGCUCCUUACUGCUUGCCGGCACGCUCCAUGGCAGCACGGAUCCCCUUGGGAACGCUGAUCACGCCCUGCACAAGAUGCUGGCCCAGUAGUUCCUCAGCUGCAGCUGCCAUACCCAGCACAGCCUUGCCAAAGCCCACCAGGUAGAGGUUUUGCCUCAGCUGAAAGUUCCGGUCCCGCACCUUCAGCUGUCUGCCACCAGGGUCCAAGGAUAGUGCCCGGUGCAGCAUGGGGCCCGGCAGCACUGCACCUACAGCACUCUCAAACAGCUGCCUGGCCUGCUCUGCCAAGGCCAUGCUGCUGGCCAGACGGGCCACUGAGCCCCGCCAGAGGAGUGGAUGCAAGGGGGCUCGGGCCAAGCGGGGCAGGACCUGCAGGGCUGCAGCCAUGCCCCACUGCUCUCAGCACUGCCU